RNAcentral lists this ribosomal RNA (499 nucleotides) under uncultured bacterium. RNAcentral describes it as "partial 16S ribosomal RNA". It matches the Rfam family "Bacterial small subunit ribosomal RNA", at positions 28 to 523 of the family's 1533-position model. The record is from RNAcentral.
GAUGAACGCUGGCGGCGUGCCUAACACAUGCAAGUCGAGCGUGAUUGUUGAGAGUGGAGACUUCGGUCAAAGUGAUCAACAUGAAAGCGGCGGACGGGUGAGUAACGCGUAGGCAACCUGCCCCAUACAUGAGGAUAGCCACUGGAAACGGUGAUUAAUACUCAAUAAGACCACGUUGGCGCAUGCCGGAGUGGCCAAAGAUUUAUCGGUAUGGGAUGGGCCUGCGUCUGAUUAGCUAGUUGGUGAGGUAACGGCUCACCAAGGCGACGAUCAGUAACCGACCUGAGAGGGCGAACGGUCACACUGGAACUGAGACACGGUCCAGACUCCUACGGGAGGCAGCAGUGGGGAAUAUUGCACAAUGGGCGCAAGCCUGAUGCAGCAACGCCGCGUGAGUGAAGAAGGCCUUCGGGUCGUAAAGCUCUGUCCUGUGGGACGAAACAAAUGACGGUACCACAGGAGGAAGCCCCGACUAACUACGUGCCAGCCGCCGCCGUAA